This 22-nucleotide non-coding RNA is filed under the name Arabidopsis thaliana (thale cress). Lineage: Eukaryota; Viridiplantae; Streptophyta; Magnoliopsida; Brassicales; Brassicaceae. The record is from RNAcentral.
UCAAGUGCCAAUUAUGUUGGGA